RNAcentral lists this ribosomal RNA (253 nucleotides) under uncultured bacterium. RNAcentral's name for it is "partial 16S ribosomal RNA". It matches the Rfam family "Bacterial small subunit ribosomal RNA", at positions 524 to 776 of the family's 1533-position model. The record is from RNAcentral.
UACGUAGGGACCAAGCGUUGUUCGGAUUUACUGGGCGUAAAGGGCGCGUAGGCGGCGUGACAAGUCACUUGUGAAAUCUCCGAGCUUAACUCGGAACGGUCAAGUGAUACUGUUAUGCUAGAGUACAGAAGGGGUAAUCGGAAUUCUCGGUGUAGCGGUGAAAUGCGUAGAUAUCGAGAGGAACACCAGAGGCGAAGGCGGAUUACUAGGCUGAUACUGACGCUGAGGCGCGAAAGCUAGGGUAGCAAACGGG